This is a long non-coding RNA of Triticum dicoccoides, 234 nucleotides long. RefSeq lists it as uncharacterized. NCBI's taxonomy places the organism in Eukaryota, Viridiplantae, Streptophyta, Magnoliopsida, Poales, Poaceae. The record is from RefSeq and is a predicted model, not a curated record. The transcript is spliced from 3 exons.
AAAAUGCCCACUGGAUGACCGUGGUCAUGCACAUGAUCAAGAAAGAAUUCCAAGUUCUCGAUUCACUCUAUCCUCUGGAGCUGACAGAAAAGACUGUCAAAGCACUGCGAAUGGCUAUAGCAAACGAUUUUCGCCAAGCAAAUCUUAUUACACCAGGGAAAUAUCCGGACGUAAGUAAGUGGCCUAUCAACGAGUAUGACAUGCCGCAGCAAGAGGAUGGGAACUCUUGUGGCC